GUGCUUUAUGAGAAUGCCGGAAUCAGAGUUCGCCAAAAUGACGUUAAAUGGUCUGUAUUUUAAAAUAAAAGAUUAUUUUGAAGAUAAGUAUUUUUCUAACCUACUUGAUCUAGGUGUUCGAGUUGCCCAAUAUGAGCAAUUUUGGAAGGAAAGUGAGGACAAUCGGCUGCAAUGGAGCCGAUAUAAAAAGUAAAACAAAGACAAAGAGAAAUCUUUGAUAGAAGAACA
Molecule: long non-coding RNA, 228 nt
Filed under: Ananas comosus (pineapple)
Lineage: Eukaryota; Viridiplantae; Streptophyta; Magnoliopsida; Poales; Bromeliaceae
Description: long non-coding RNA (ACOM_LNC003100)
Source: RNAcentral